Molecule: ribosomal RNA, 207 nt
Filed under: uncultured bacterium
Lineage: Bacteria
Description: partial 16S ribosomal RNA
Rfam family: Bacterial small subunit ribosomal RNA
Source: RNAcentral
CGUGCAGGCGGUUCUGUAAGUCGGACGUGAAAGCUCCUGGCUUAACUGGGAGAGGUCGUUCGAUACUGCAGGACUUGAGGUCGGGAGAGGGACGUGGAAUUCCCGGUGUAGUGGUGGAAUGCGUAGAGAUCGGGAGGAACACCAGUGGCGAAGGCGGCGUCCUGGCCCGCACCUGACGCUGAGACGCGAAAGCGUGGGUAGCGAACG